AAUUGGAAUUGAAUCUGAGUAGGUACGACUAAGAGGUGAAUAUUGUCCAAUGCUGACUAACGGGCCAGGUUGAUUCUGUAAGAGCGGUUGAGGAUUGCCUCAGAAACAGUGCAAGUUGGAUUAUCGGAGUCUAGAGCUCUAUUGGCGGCAGAGAUAACUCCCCUUCCAGUCUAGAAUUCUGUCAGAUACUGGGUGUAGGUCUUUCAAUAAUUUUGGCUGGUUUCUGGUUCCAAUGUCAGUCGUUUUUUCUCUGAUUUUUCACCGUCUUUUCAUUUCUCUGAUUUUCUCUGAUUCUCUGAUUCUCUGAUUUUCUCUGAUUUUCUCACCAUCGUUCUUGCCCAUCGCCAGUUCAGUCAUGUCACCAUCACUUGCGAAAAUAAAAUAGACCCACAAAAGGAACACACAAACAAACGAACUAAACCCCCCCAAAUCAGCCAAUUUCGGACCUCGAAGUUCGUCAUCAACCGCGAUGAUGGUCAACUAUGAAUACUCUCUCUCGCUAUAGGUUCCGACGAGAUUGGCCGAGUUGUGGCGACUGUUGGACUAAGAUGACAAACAGCGACGAUAAAAUGACGAUAAGAAACCCCAAAACGACUAAAGAAAACGAAUUUCGCGAUAUUUCGCUCGAUUGACAUCAAUGGGCAAUCUGCGGUGGAUUCAACACACGAAUCUCCAGCCAAACUGCGUUGUGGACGGAAGCGAAUCAUACAACAGGCGCAAAGGGUACAAAAGGAUGUUGUCAGGAUGUAUAACGGGUGCCAUUGGAGGUCUCUGGGGAGAACCGAACGGCCAGAAGGUCUCACAGAAGUCACAGGAGUCACAGGAGUCGCAGGAGUCACAGGAGUUACAGGAGUUACAGGAGUCACCGAAGUCGCAGGAGUCGCAGGAGUCACAGGAGUCGCAGGAGUCACAGGAGUCACAGGAGUCUCUAGAUCUCAAGAGUGUCGUCUGAGGGCCUCGGAGUGCUCUAGGGUUCUGGAAUGAUGUCCCUCAGUCUCUCCGGUCGUUCUUCAGUCUCUCCAGAGGACUGCUGGAGUCGUGCUGGAGUCCUGAGUCAUUGUCAGAGACCUCUAACCCACAUCCAUUGCUGAAACUAUGAGGAGAGUCGACCUAAGACGCCAGAGGGUAAUACAGAUACAGCCAGGGGUGAUAGCGAUACGACCUCGGCUUAUGCUCCACUCCUGGAUCUACUCCCAGACCUCCUCCCAGAUCUACUCCAGAUCUACUCAGACUCUGGUAGAACCCAUUCCUGGACUCACUAUCAGUUUCAAAAGAAAACACCGCGAUGACCCACACACUCCAGUCACUCCAGGUGACUCCAGUUGCCCCGGUUCCCCCAUUCGUUCCAGAUCUUCCAAAAACCAUGAAAAAUUCGAGAGAAAUCAGAAGACGGGAAAAUACGAAUGAAAUGGACAAUCAGAUCGGAAAAUAUGUGCUUGAAUUGCCCCUUUUUGUUAAAUUGUGCUUA
This 1468-nucleotide unclassified non-coding RNA is filed under the name Yarrowia lipolytica. Lineage: Eukaryota; Fungi; Ascomycota; Dipodascomycetes; Dipodascales. The record is from RNAcentral.